AACGAACGCUGGCGGCAUGCCUAACACAUGCAAGUCGAACGAAACCUCCGGGUCUUUUUGCGCACGGCGUCGUAACGCGUGGGAAGCUUCCCUUAGGUUCGACAUACCUCUCCGACAGGGGUGCUAACACCGGACAAGGUCUUCUGACCAAAGAUUUAUUGCCUUUGGUUGGGCCCUCGUUGGAUUAGCUUGUUGGUAGGGUAAAAGCCGAUCAAGGCGACGAUCCAUAGCUGGUCUGAGAAGAUGAUCAGCGACACUGGGACUAGGACACGGCCGAGACUCCUACGCGAGGCAGGAGUGGGGGAUAUAGCAAAGUGGGGGAAGGUAUGAUGCAGCAAUGCCGGGUGAGCGAUGAAGGUAUUAGGGUAGUAAAGCUCUUUUACCCGGGAUGAUAAUGACGGUACCGGGAGAAUAAGCUCCGGCUAACUACGUG
RNAcentral lists this ribosomal RNA (433 nucleotides) under uncultured bacterium. RNAcentral describes it as "partial 16S ribosomal RNA". It matches the Rfam family "Bacterial small subunit ribosomal RNA", at positions 29 to 507 of the family's 1533-position model. The record is from RNAcentral.